GACGAACGCUGGCGGCGUGCUUAACACAUGCAAGUCGAACGGAAAGGCCCUGCUUUUGUGGGGUGCUCGAGUGGCGAACGGGUGAGUAACACGUGAGUAACCUGCCCUUGACUUUGGGAUAACUUCAGGAAACUGGGGCUAAUACCGGAUAGGAGCUCCUGCUGCAUGGUGGGGGUUGGAAAGUUUCGGCGGUUGGGGAUGGACUCGCGGCUUAUCAGCUUGUCGGUGGGGUAGUGGCUUACCAAGGCUUUGACGGGUAGCCGGCCUGAGAGGGUGACCGGUCACAUUGGGACUGAGAUACGGCCCAGACUCCUACGGGAGGCAGCAGUGGGGAAUAUUGCACAAUGGGCGGAAGCCUGAUGCAGCAACGCCGCGUGCGGGAUGACGGCCUUCGGGUUGUAAACCGCUUUCGCCUGUGACGAAGCGUGAGUGACGGUAAUGGGUAAAGAAGCACCGGCUAACUACGUG
This 468-nucleotide ribosomal RNA is filed under the name uncultured bacterium. RNAcentral's name for it is "partial 16S ribosomal RNA". It matches the Rfam family "Bacterial small subunit ribosomal RNA", at positions 28 to 507 of the family's 1533-position model. The record is from RNAcentral.